AGUGAACGCUGGCGGCGUGCUUAACACAUGCAAGUCGAACGAGAAACGGAUUUAGCUUGCUAAAUUGCAGUCUAAGUGGCGCACGGGUGAGUAAUGUAUAGGUAAUAUGCCUCUUACUAAGGGAUAACAAUUGGAAACGAUUGCUAAUACCUUAUAUGCCUUUAAUACGAAAGUAAGCAAGGGAAAGAUUUAUUGGUAAGAGAUUAGCCUGUAUGGUAUCAGCUUGUUGGUGAGGUAAUGGCUCACCAAGGCUAUGACGCCUGACUGGUUUGAGAGGAUGAUCAGUCACACUGGAACUUAGACACGGUCCAGACUCCUACGGGAGGCAGCAGUGGGGAAUAUUGCACAAUGGACGAGAGUCUGAUGCAGCAACGCCGCGUGGAGGAUGACACAUUUCGGUGCGUAAACUCCUUUUACAUAGGAAGAUAAUGACGGUACUAUAUGAAUAAGCACCGGCUAACUCCGUGCCAGCCGCCGCGGUAA
This 483-nucleotide ribosomal RNA is filed under the name uncultured bacterium. RNAcentral describes it as "partial 16S ribosomal RNA". It matches the Rfam family "Bacterial small subunit ribosomal RNA", at positions 29 to 523 of the family's 1533-position model. The record is from RNAcentral.